AUAAAUAUUUCAAUUCUGUUUUGACCUGCCACAUCAAUAGCUAACGUGUUUCAAGGUCAGUGAAACUCUCGGCAUUCUUGUAAAUUUUACGCCGUGCAUAACUCAACCCCAAGUCAUCAAAACCACCACCACCACCACGCAAUGGGCAUUGAAAUUUGACCCAGCAGGGCACUGACAGCAAGGUAAUCAAAGAAGAAGGGGACUAUAAAAAGAAACACUAACCACCAACCUACGAUCUUCAAUACGUCGAAGAUAUUGAAGAAUCCACUCCCCC
RNAcentral lists this long non-coding RNA (274 nucleotides) under Physcomitrium patens. Its description in RNAcentral is "long non-coding RNA (PPAT_LNC008234)". Lineage: Eukaryota; Viridiplantae; Streptophyta; Bryopsida; Funariales; Funariaceae. The record is from RNAcentral.